GGAGUAUGUUAUUUAAUACGAUAAUCCGCGUCAACCUUACCAUAUAUUGAAUAAUAUAUAUAAUAAUUAAAUAAUUUGCAUAUAUAUUACAGGUGUUACAUAGUUGUCUACAGUUCGUGCUGCAAAGUUUACGGUUUGGUCCAUUAACGAACGCAACUCUAUAUACAUAUAAUAUAUUAAUAUAUAUAAUAAUAUGUAUAGUUACUAUUUAAAUGCAUAGUAAUAAUAGAUAUAAGACAAAUCGUUAUGACCCUUAUUAUAUGGGCAAUAGACGUACUAUAAUAAUAUAAUAAUAAUAUUAGAUUAUAUAAUUAAAAACUAUAUAAUGUAUAAUAUAAAUUAUAUGAAUAUGUUAUAUAUUUGUAUAUAAUAUCAUAUGGAUUAUAAUCUGCAACUCGAUUAUAUGAAAUAAGAAUUGCCAGUAAUCUUUAUAAAGUAUAUAAAGGUGAAUCAUACAGUUGUUUCGCACUAAUUACUCGUCACACGGUCAAUUAAUAUAUAAUAUAAUGACUAAUCCAAUUAAACAAUAAAUACUAUUGAUCAUUCAGGAUUUAAUAUAUUACAAUUAUAAUAUUAUUAACUAUGAAUCAUUUUAUAACCUAAUUUAUGAACAAUAAAUAUAUAUAUAUUAAUAUAUUAAAUAUAAUAUUGUUCAUAAUAGUUUAAUAUAUAUAU
Molecule: ribosomal RNA, 675 nt
Filed under: Hansenula anomala
Lineage: Eukaryota; Fungi; Ascomycota; Saccharomycetes; Phaffomycetales; Wickerhamomycetaceae
Description: Wickerhamomyces anomalus partial small subunit ribosomal RNA
Rfam family: Bacterial small subunit ribosomal RNA (bases 2-279)
Source: RNAcentral